AUUCCUCUGGCAGAUCAAAUGCAAUAAACUUAGAAUUUAUUCAUACAUUAAUACGUGUGGGGAAUA
RNAcentral lists this transfer RNA (66 nucleotides) under Trichuris sp. KE396. RNAcentral describes it as "tRNA-Leu". The record is from RNAcentral. Lineage: Eukaryota; Metazoa; Nematoda; Enoplea; Trichinellida; Trichuridae.